Long non-coding RNA from Centrocercus urophasianus (Greater sage-grouse), 360 nucleotides. RefSeq lists it as uncharacterized. The record is from RefSeq and is a predicted model, not a curated record. NCBI's taxonomy places the organism in Eukaryota, Metazoa, Chordata, Aves, Galliformes, Phasianidae. The transcript is spliced from 3 exons.
GGAGGAUAUGGAAGCACAACUCUGCACUCCUAUACUGGCAUCCCUCACCUCCUGUGCAACAGAGGCAGAUGCUUACCCCGUUUCACCAUAGCAAGAUUCAGUGAAAUGAUGAUAUACUCAGCAGUGGUAUACUUAGGAAUCUUGGAGAGGACAACAAAAACUCCACCCCAAACCAAUGCGUGAUUCUCUCCUGUGUAUUUCAGAUAUGAGGAUUACAUUGGAUCACACAGCCCUUUCUCUCACAGCUACAUAGAACCAUGGAGUGCAGGAGUCCCAGCAUUUAAGAGACAGAGAAGCAAAAAGCAGCCCUUGCUGACUUCCUGCUCUGGCCUGUUUCUAUCUGGUCCUCUGCCAUCUCCU